This 802-nucleotide ribosomal RNA is filed under the name Lactobacillus casei group sp. RNAcentral's name for it is "bacterial SSU rRNA". It matches the Rfam family "Bacterial small subunit ribosomal RNA", at positions 19 to 785 of the family's 1533-position model. The record is from RNAcentral. Lineage: Bacteria; Bacillati; Bacillota; Bacilli; Lactobacillales; Lactobacillaceae.
CUGGCUCAGGAUGAACGCUGGCGGCGUGCCUAAUACAUGCAAGUCGAACGAGUUCUCGUUGAUGAUCGGUGCUUGCACCGAGAUUCAACAUGGAACGAGUGGCGGACGGGUGAGUAACACGUGGGUAACCUGCCCUUAAGUGGGGGAUAACAUUUGGAAACAGAUGCUAAUACCGCAUAGAUCCAAGAACCGCAUGGUUCUUGGCUGAAAGAUGGCGUAAGCUAUCGCUUUUGGAUGGACCCGCGGCGUAUUAGCUAGUUGGUGAGGUAAUGGCUCACCAAGGCGAUGAUACGUAGCCGAACUGAGAGGUUGAUCGGCCACAUUGGGACUGAGACACGGCCCAAACUCCUACGGGAGGCAGCAGUAGGGAAUCUUCCACAAUGGACGCAAGUCUGAUGGAGCAACGCCGCGUGAGUGAAGAAGGCUUUCGGGUCGUAAAACUCUGUUGUUGGAGAAGAAUGGUCGGCAGAGUAACUGUUGUCGGCGUGACGGUAUCCAACCAGAAAGCCACGGCUAACUACGUGCCAGCAGCCGCGGUAAUACGUAGGUGGCAAGCGUUAUCCGGAUUUAUUGGGCGUAAAGCGAGCGCAGGCGGUUUUUUAAGUCUGAUGUGAAAGCCCUCGGCUUAACCGAGGAAGCGCAUCGGAAACUGGGAAACUUGAGUGCAGAAGAGGACAGUGGAACUCCAUGUGUAGCGGUGAAAUGCGUAGAUAUAUGGAAGAACACCAGUGGCGAAGGCGGCUGUCUGGUCUGUAACUGACGCUGAGGCUCGAAAGCAUGGGUAGCGAACAGGAUUAGAUAC